AUGGUGAUAAAGGAGCAUCCAUCAAUAGAUUCUUGUCACCAAUCAUGUGAUUUGUACAUCCAUUAUCGAGGACCCACUCAUUGGCUUUGGGUUGAUCAUCCUGCGGAUGAAUUAGUGCAACUUACGAACUCAUAUACUUCAUCAGUGAAGAAUAUGACAUCAAUAUCAUCAGAUCAAUUUCAUCGAGCAAUAGAACAGAUAAACAGUAUGAGGAAGUGUGAAAUGAAAGUUCAUUUCAUCAUGAUUAGCCUGCGUCCUUUUAGGCACUGUUCAGGUCUCCAGCAAAUUCUUCACACGUUUUGA
Molecule: ribosomal RNA, 303 nt
Filed under: Triticum aestivum (bread wheat)
Lineage: Eukaryota; Viridiplantae; Streptophyta; Magnoliopsida; Poales; Poaceae
Description: partial small subunit ribosomal RNA
Source: RNAcentral